This 293-nucleotide ribosomal RNA is filed under the name uncultured eukaryote. Its description in RNAcentral is "partial 18S ribosomal RNA". It matches the Rfam family "Eukaryotic small subunit ribosomal RNA", at positions 6 to 305 of the family's 1831-position model. The record is from RNAcentral.
GGUUGAUCCUGCCAGUAGUCAUAUGCUUGUCCCAAAGAUUAAGCCAUGCAUGUCCAAGUAUAAAUCGUUAUACGGUGAAACUGCGAAUGGCUCAUUAUAUCAGUUAUAAUUUAUUUGAUGGUUUCUUUACUACUUGGAUAACCGUGGUAAUUCUAGAGCUAAUACAUGCAAAAGGCCCGACUCACGAAGGGCCGUAUUUAUUAGAUCAAAAACCAAUGCCUUUGGGCUUGCUGGUGAUUCAUAAUAACUCUGCGGAUCGCACGGCUGUGUGCUGGCGACGCUUCAUUCAAAUU